GAAUAAUCAGCCUGCUUCAAUAAUGAAUAGCCUCACCCUUUGAUUUAUUCAGUAUCUAGCCGUAUCCUUGCUUAAGAAACCCAGGGGCUAAUCUUGAAAUAAACCGGGCAUGAAUUUGAGAUUGUGGAAUCCUACAUUCUCAGAAAAAUCACUGAGGGGGGUUAAUCCAUAAGCUAGUUGCAGUCAUGGUGAUGCCAGCCAGACCUCCAGGUGAUCCGUUACUGAAGAUAGCCAUCAGAGUAAGACAUGCAAACCUGCACCCUGCACCACUCCUGCUCAUAGUUUCCAUGCCUCCUACUUCUUAAAAUCCCUUUAGCUAGCCUAAAAUUUUGAAAUAGUCUUUGAGGCGCUAGUCCACCAUCUCCUCAGGUUGCUAGCUCUUGAAUAAACCUGCUUUUCCUGCACCAACUCUUGUCUUGCAAGUCUUGCUUUUGAGCAGUGAGCAGUGAUCAGCUGACCCUUAGUUUGGUUACACUAUCACUCAGGAAAUUCCAAGCAUUUUAGAAGGUCUGUGGCAGGAACCAGGAACUAAGUUCAAAUUUAUUUUUUAUUAUACCACAGGUCCCAACUCCCAUGACUACCUGGAUGGUGACAAAGACGAAUUAUCUCUUCAUCCUUCUUUCUCACUCUAAAUAUACACAGACAUGCUAUUAGGAGGGAAAACUUUCCCUCUACCAACUUUGGUUCAGUGGGUGGGAGCCUGUGAAUUAACUAUAGACAGGUUAGCAGGGGGAAAGAAAACAAGUUGUAUUCAUAACUUGUGGAAGCAUUCAGAUGAAGAGGCUUGAUGAAGAGCUAGAGACAGAAGUUUAGUUAUCAACUCAUAGGGGAAAAGAAGGAGGGAGAAAUGACUUCUAUAGGAAAACAAAUGACUUUUGGGAAAGACAAAUAGAAGCUUUGGAUAAAGUUUUACACAAUUUUCUUGGAAUAUCUCCUGUCUGGGUGAAGUAAUCCUCACACGGUUAACAAGAAUCCUGGACAAAAAUAUAAUUAUGAGUAAGUGUUAAUCAGGCUACACUUUGACCCACUUCCUUGUAACCAAAACUCACGAACACUAGCUACUGAUAAUUUGCAUUCUCAUUGUUCCCAUAGAUAAGAUCUUUGACAUUAGAAUCAUAAGGCUUUUGUUUAAGAAUUGUUUAUGCAGAUCCUGAAUUCCGGCAGAACAGCUGACACCACCAACUUUAAAGAGCCCAACUGAUGAACUGAUCAGCAUGAGAAUACUGUUUUUUCAUCUCUCUGUCCCAUGACUUCACUCUGCAUUCUUCAACCAAUUAGUGAUCUCUUAUUUCCACCUACUCCAAAUCCUUAAAAACAACAGCCUCAAACUCUUUGAGGAAAUGGAUUUGAGGUUUCCUUCCAUCUUUUGGUUCAGCAGCCCUGCAAUUAAACCUCUUUCUCUGCUGCAACCCAGUGUCUUGGCAUAUUGACAUGCUGUGCACAUCAGGCAAAAGACCUAUUACCAUUACAUGAGGACCCCUCCGGAGGGAGAUAAUGGUGGGGGCAUUUCUGGGAGGCUCUGCUUUAGUCAGGUCUAUAAGCAUGAACUUAUUCAAUAACGGAAGUAACAGGUAAAGAAGGAAAAGCACACGUGGCAAGAAGAACCACGUCUCCAGGAAGAGGCAACACUACUGAUUGAAGGACAGUGGGGACAAAGUCCUGCUGACAUGCCUGUAUUUCCAAACAAAGACAAAAAUUAAACAUUUGCUUUUCAACCAACUCUGGGCUUUGUGCCCACUCACUCUUUGUUCCCAUUCCCUCUUUCCCAAGUAUUUCAUGGCAUUCUUCCGGGAAUAACUGUUUACAGAGAAUUACAGAGAAUCUGCUUAAAUACAGAUUCAAUAAAAACUCCUAAAGAAAGGUUUCACUGACCUUCAUUGGUCCACUUUUUUAUCCAGCUACUUUAAUUUGAGUCACAGUGACCAAUGCUUCCAACAAUAACUUGACAAACCUCUUACUCUUGCCUGCUUAUAACCUGAUUAUCUGUUUUCAACAAUAGCUAAAGCCAUUCCUCUUUUCCUGGAAUGAUUUUUUCCAUCCUCUCUGCCAAACGAUAGUUCAUCUCCACAUUACUAGAGUGCCUCAUGUCCUGUUACUAACAUCGUACCACUCCAUGGAGUCAUAGAACAAGAGUGGGAGGGGCCUCUGAGACUCUGUCCACCCCUCAUAUUAAAGAAGAGCCAACUGAGGAACAGAGAAAGAGACAUGUAUUGCCCAAGGAACUCAUUGCAUUCGCCGGCCUGGAAGCUUUCCAAUGCACCACACAAUUUUUUUUUUUUUUUUUUUUAAGACGGAGUCUUGCUCUGUCACCCAGGCUAGAGUGCAGUGACGCAAUCUCUGUUCACUGUAACCUCCGCCUCCCAGGUUCAAGAGAGUCUCCUGUCUCAGCCUCCCGAGUAGCUGGGGUUACAGGUGCUCACCACCGUGCCCGGCUAAUUUUUGUAUUUUUAGUAGAGACGAGGUUUCACCAUCUUGGCCAGGCUGGUCUCGAACUCCUGAUCUUGUGAUGCACCCACCUCGGCCUCCCAAAGUGCUGGGAUUACAGGCAUGAGCCACCGUGCCGGGCCCACACAACUUUUAUAUUCCAUACUAGUACUUUCUAGACAAUCAGAGCUAACUUUAAAGGGGCCACUGAAAGUUGCUGUUCGAAGGAAACCUACAUUGACUAUUACCAUAAAUUCAAAAAUUAUUUUACUCUGCUUGUCAUCAGUAAAAGAAUUGCUUGAAUUGAAGCGUAUGUAAUAAACCUAUCCUCUUGCAAAACUUGUUAGUGGCUCUGUGGUUAAGUAAGUCUUGAAUACCUGAGGCUGCUUCUGGGAAGGUGGUCCUGUGCCACAGAUAAUGAUGUCCCUUGGGUUUCUACUGAUUACAUUAUGACUUGAUUAUAAGAUUUUUACUGUCACGAGGGAGGGUCUUGGCUCAUCUGAGAUUUCCCUAGCCCCCUGAGUGGUGCUGAAAUUGUUUUAAUAAAGAUGUUGCGC
RNAcentral lists this long non-coding RNA (2981 nucleotides) under Homo sapiens (human). RNAcentral's name for it is "HSALNT0207860". Lineage: Eukaryota; Metazoa; Chordata; Mammalia; Primates; Hominidae. The record is from RNAcentral.